This 1211-nucleotide ribosomal RNA is filed under the name metagenome. Its description in RNAcentral is "bacterial LSU rRNA". It matches the Rfam family "Bacterial large subunit ribosomal RNA", at positions 1736 to 2925 of the family's 2925-position model. The record is from RNAcentral.
UCGGGAUAAGGAGGACCCCAGUAGCGUGACGAGACUUGCUCUCCGAGCGUGAAGGGGUGUCACAAAAUUGAGGGAAGCGACUGUUUACCAAAAACACAGCAGCGUGCUAAGCCGUAAGGCGCUGUAUACGCUGUGACUCCUGCCCGGUGCUGGAAGGUUACGGGGAUGGGUUAGUCCUUUGGGACGAAGCUCUGAACCUAAGCCCCAGUAAACGGCGGCCGUAACUAUAACGGUCCUAAGGUAGCGAAAUUCCUUGUCGGGUAAGUUCCGACCUGCACGAAUGGAGUAACGACUUCCCUACUGUCUCAACCAUAGACCCAGCGAAAUUGAAGUACGAGUAAAGAUGCUCGUUAGCUGCAGAAGGACGGAAAGACCCCGUGGACCUUUACUAUAACUUGAUGUUGCGUUUUGUCAUAUGUUGUGUAGGAUAGGUGGGAGACAAGGAAGCAUGGACGCUAGUCUGUGUGGAGUCAUCGUUGAAAUACCACCCUGCAUAUGGUGAGGCUCUAACCUAGACCCGUUAUCCGGGUUGGGGACAGCGUCAGGCGGGUAGUUUAACUGGGGCGGUUGCCUCCUAAAGAGUAACGGAGGCGCCCAAAGGUUCCCUCAGCCUGGUUGGCAAUCAGGCGUCGAGUGCAAUGGCAAAAGGGAGCUUGACUGCGAGACCUACAAGUCGAGCAGGAGCGAAAGCUGGGCAUAGUGAUCCGGCGGUUGCGUGUGGAAGCGCCGUCGCUCAACGGAUAAAAGGUACCCCGGGGAUAACAGGCUAAUCUUGCCCAAGCGUCCAUAGCGACGGCAAGGUUUGGCACCUCGAUGUCGGCUCAUCGCAUCCUGGGGCUGAAGCAGGUCCCAAGGGUUGAGCUGUUCGCCCAUUAAAGCGGUACGCGAGCCGGGUUCAGAACGUCGUGAGACAGUUCGGUCCCUAUCCUCUGUAGCCGUAGGUGAAUUGAGGAAAGCUGUCCCUAGUACGAGAGGACCGGGACGGACGCAGCUCUCGUGUGCCAGUUGUCCUGCCAAGGGCAUGGCUGGUUAGCGACCUGCGGAAAGGAUAACCGCUGAAAGCAUCUAAGCGGGAAGCCUCUUCCGAGAUGAAUUCACCCACAGGGUUAACCUGGUAAGGCCCGUGGUAGACCACCACGUUGAUAGGCCGGAAGUGUAAGCGUGGCAACACGUUCAGCUGACCGGUACUAAUCGGCCGAGGGCUUGAAUUG